UAGUAAAUUUGAAUUCCAUUUUUGUCACUAUGGACCGAAAGGAGCAUUGGUAUUACCUGGUAACAGAGACAAUUUCCCGACCACAGCAAACCCAGGUACACACAACAGUUAACAAGGCCAUGGAGAUGCACGGCAUGUGCCAGCAUACACCUGAUAAAGCAUGGCACAGCUGACACAGACAGACAUGGCCAGCAGGGACCAGCACCUCAACCCUUGCUUAAGCUUGCUGUUAAAGUCUUAAGUUGCAAGUGAAAAAUACUUUUGAAGAUGGACCACAUGAAAUGUAUUAACUGAUUGAAGAAAAAUAAGUCGCAAUCUAGUGCGGCGCAAAGGGACAAAAAAAUUAUUUCAGCAAUAAUCCCCAAGCAUUUAAUUUUCAUCAAACAGAACUAUGAACCAUAGUUCAAGAAACGUUUUGCAAAUGUUUUCUUCUAAUAACAUAUUUCGAAUGUAACCCACUUUUUAAACAAUCCAAUUCUUUCACAUUUUGGAAAUUUCACUUCUAAAAUUUAUCUUUGUUUUACAUUUUUUUUCAAAGGAAAGAUCUCGAACAAUGUUCCAGUGGCCGAGAAAACAAAUACAUUAAGAGACAGAAAAUAGAAUGCAAUCCGUCCAAAUUCUCAGCAUUCAUUAUAUCCUGUGCAAGUCCGUUUCGCUAAUUUGGUCAUUGCCAAUGCUUCACUCAAUAAUUUUGGCACAUAAUUGCCCACAUUGCAAUCCACAGGCCAUCCAUUUAACAU
Molecule: long non-coding RNA, 740 nt
Filed under: Phoenix dactylifera (date palm)
Lineage: Eukaryota; Viridiplantae; Streptophyta; Magnoliopsida; Arecales; Arecaceae
Description: long non-coding RNA (PDAC_LNC018756)
Source: RNAcentral